GCAGAGGACUCCUUACGGGAGGCAGCAGUGGGGAAUAUUGCACAAUGGGCGCAAGCCUGAUGCAGCCAUGCCGCGUGUAUGAAGAAGGCCUUCGGGUUGUAAAGUACUUUCAGCAGUGAGGAAGGUGGGUAUGUUAAUAGCAUAUUCAUUUGACGUUAGCUGCAGAAGAAGCACCGGCUAACUCCGUGCCAGCAGCCGCGGUAAUACGGAGGGUGCGAGCGUUAAUCGGAAUUACUGGGCGUAAAGCGCAUGCAGGUGGUUUGUUAAGUCAGAUGUGAAAGCCCGGGGCUCAACCUCGGAAUUGCAUUUGAAACUGGCAAACUAGAGUACUGUAGAGGGGGUAGAAUUUCAGGUGUAGCGGUGAAAUGCGUAGAGAUCUGAAGGAAUACCGGUGGCGAAGGCGGCCCCCUGGACAGAUACUGACACUCAGAUGCGAAAGCGUGGGGAGCAAACAGGAUUAGAUACCCUGGUAG
RNAcentral lists this ribosomal RNA (473 nucleotides) under uncultured bacterium. RNAcentral's name for it is "bacterial SSU rRNA". It matches the Rfam family "Bacterial small subunit ribosomal RNA", at positions 328 to 793 of the family's 1533-position model. The record is from RNAcentral.